Molecule: ribosomal RNA, 236 nt
Filed under: Sulfurovum zhangzhouensis
Lineage: Bacteria; Pseudomonadati; Campylobacterota; Epsilonproteobacteria; Campylobacterales; Sulfurovaceae
Description: partial 23S ribosomal RNA
Rfam family: Bacterial large subunit ribosomal RNA
Source: RNAcentral
AAUAAAUUAAUCUAAGGGCAGAUGGUGGAUGCCUAGACCAGGAGAGGCGAUGAAGGACGUACUAGGCUGCGAUAAGCCACGGGGAGCUGCCAAGAAGCUUUGAUCCGUGGAUUUCCGAAUGGGGCAACCCGGCAUGUAGUGAUGCAUGUCACUCUUAGGAGAGCGAACGUGGGGAAGUGAAACAUCUCAGUACCCACAGGAAAAGAAAUCAACCGAGAUUCCCUUAGUAGCGGCGA